UUCCUACGGGGGGCAGCAGUGGGGAAUAUUGCACAAUGGGGGAAACCCUGAUGCAGCGACGCCGCGUGAGUGAGGAAGUAUUUCGGUAUGUAAAGCUCUAUCAGCAGGGAAGAAAAUGACGGUACCUGACUAAGAAGCCCCGGCUAACUACGUGCCAGCAGCCGCGGUAAUACGUAGGGGGCAAGCGUUAUCCGGAUUUACUGGGUGUAAAGGGAGCGUAGACGGCUAAUCAAGUCAGCGGUAAAAUCGUGGAGCUCAACUCCAUCCAGCCGUUGAAACUGAUGAUCUUGAGUGGGCGAGAAGUA
RNAcentral lists this ribosomal RNA (305 nucleotides) under uncultured bacterium. RNAcentral's name for it is "bacterial SSU rRNA". It matches the Rfam family "Bacterial small subunit ribosomal RNA", at positions 336 to 659 of the family's 1533-position model. The record is from RNAcentral.